Molecule: transfer RNA, 72 nt
Filed under: bacterium
Lineage: Bacteria
Description: tRNA-Arg
Rfam family: tRNA
About the family: Transfer RNA (tRNA) molecules are approximately 80 nucleotides in length. Their secondary structure includes four short double-helical elements and three loops (D, anti-codon, and T loops). Further hydrogen bonds mediate the characteristic L-shaped molecular structure. tRNAs have two regions of fundamental functional importance: the anti-codon, which is responsible for specific mRNA codon recognition, and the 3' end, to which the tRNAs corresponding amino acid is attached (by aminoacyl-tRNA synthetases). tRNAs cope with the degeneracy of the genetic code in two manners: having more than one tRNA (with a specific anti-codon) for a particular amino acid; and 'wobble' base-pairing, i.e. permitting non-standard base-pairing at the 3rd anti-codon position.
Source: RNAcentral
GCCCUCGUAGUUGAACGGAUACAACGCCUCCCUCCGAAGGAGGUAGUACAGGUUCAAUUCCUGUCGAGGGCA